RNAcentral lists this long non-coding RNA (382 nucleotides) under Salmo salar (Atlantic salmon). RNAcentral describes it as "lncRNA (ENSSSAG00000085258.1)". Lineage: Eukaryota; Metazoa; Chordata; Actinopteri; Salmoniformes; Salmonidae. The record is from RNAcentral.
GGACGGUGGGUCCUAUCAAGGCCUAGUACUGUGCUGAUCUCCCUGGACGGUGGGUCCUAUCAAGGCCUAGUACUGUGCUGAUCUCCCUGGACGGUGGGUCCUAUCAAGGCCCAGUGCUGUGCUGAUCUCCCUGGACGGUGGGUCCUAUCAAGGCCCAGUGCUGUGCUGAUCUCCCUGGACGGUGGGUCCUAUCAAGGCCUGGUACUGUGCUGAUCUCCCUGGACGGUGGGUCCUAUCAAGGCCCAGUGCUGUGCUGAUCUCCCUGGACGGUGGGUCCUAUCAAGGCCCAGUGCUGUGCUGAUCUCCCUGGACGGUGGGUCCCAAGGUUUCACUGUGGUGAGAUAAUUCAUUAGGGUUUAUGAUGUAACGUAACGCAGCAUGG